RNAcentral lists this long non-coding RNA (219 nucleotides) under Nicotiana benthamiana. Its description in RNAcentral is "long non-coding RNA (NBEN_LNC003487)". Lineage: Eukaryota; Viridiplantae; Streptophyta; Magnoliopsida; Solanales; Solanaceae. The record is from RNAcentral.
CAACUUCGUCGAAAAAAAAAUUGGUAGAGCCAAUAUCUUGCACAUAAAGUGGGAAAAGUUUAUUUGCAGUCAUCUUAGCUUCGGCAAUCAGCCCAAGUUUGAAUCUAGGAUUCUGCAAAUUCUAUGCUUGAUAGACACUUCAUAGCCGUUCUCUUGAAGUUGACCCACACUAAUAAGAUUUUUCUUUAAAUCCAGUACAAAGAACAGUUCAGAAAUAAU